This is a long non-coding RNA of Populus euphratica (Euphrates poplar), 1201 nucleotides long. RefSeq lists it as uncharacterized. The record is from RefSeq and is a predicted model, not a curated record. The transcript has 3 exons. Lineage: Eukaryota; Viridiplantae; Streptophyta; Magnoliopsida; Malpighiales; Salicaceae.
AAGUUAAUUUUUUUAAAAAAAAAAAAGAUUUACCAUGCACUGUGAGUGAUUUUACUGGACUCAAACAGUGUUUCUCGCGCAAAAUUUCAUUUGAUCUCGUGAGAGUUGUUAUCUCUUGUGCAUUUGGGAGAGUUGUGGUUGGGUUAGUGGAUUCUGACUUUGUUUGUUGCUCUUGCAGGUCUCUCCGGUUGUUGUUGCUUCUUUGGCCUUGGGUGCCGUUGCGAUUUCGUCUGGAUGCAGCUAGAUAAGUAACUAGAACCCUUCUGGUUGGUUUUCUAUUUUGUGGGGCUUUGGAACUUUCACUUCUAUGGGUUUUGUGUGUGAUUGGCUUUUUUUUCCUUUUUUUUUUUUAUUGUCAAUGGUGCAUUUGAGUGCCGGGAGAGUUUGGGGUAUAAAAGAUUAUAUUUUUUUGGAUUAUCUCCCAUAUUUUGCAUUGCAUCAUCUCUCUUCUGUUAUGGUUGUCUUUUUUCCCUGGUUCUCUCAUUUGCUAUGGUUAUUCUGCUUGAACCUGUUUUUUGCCUCUGCUGCUUCUAGCUGGUGUUUUUUUCUUACAGGUUCUCUUUCUUUUAGGUGCUUUGUGUGGUUCUCCUGUGUCUGGUUGCCCUCUGCUGAUUUUCUUUCUGUUAUUGCUUCUUCUUUUUGGCUUUUUACGUCCGAAGAUGGUUCUUUGUUUUGUUGUACAUCCCAGGGUUUCUUGAGCAUUGUGCUGUUUCAUGCUUGCACCUUUGGUGUUUGUCAAAAGGCCUGAGAGAAGGUUUCUUAUCCCUCUCCCUCUCUCUUUUUUCCCAUGCACUGCUUCUAUGCUUUUUGUGUUGGCUUUCCACGGUGUUGCUAUUGGUUAGUGCCUUGGUUUGUGAUUUGGGAGGGUUAUAUGCUCAAGUUUUACCCAAUAUGGUGUGUAACUGGCUACGCCUGAAGAAAAAUGAAUCACGUUGCCACCAGAAUAAUCUAUGGACUAUUGCAGGGCAGUCCACGUUUUACAAAGGAUAGAGAGAGAUUUCCUCCAAACAACAUCCUUUUUAUGUUAUUUGGGGCAGGAUUGCUUUGGAUGAGCUGGACAUGUUUUAGUUAUAGUUAUAGGACUCAGUAAAUCUCAAUACUCAAGUCACUAAUUAGGUUAGGUGGUAACGAAGUUGAGUCUAGGAUCCUAAGUUUAGGUUCGGGGGUAUUUGGAAUUAGUGAAUGUUUGGAAGUAUGAUAA